GACGAACGCUGGCGGCGUGCUUAACACAUGCAAGUCGAACGGAAAGGCCCUGCUUGCAGGGUACUCGCGUGGCGAACGGGUGAGUAACACGUGGGUGAUCUGCCCUGCACUUCGGGAUAAGCCUGGGAAACUGGGUCUAAUACCGGAUAGGAGACAUUUUUAGUGUGAUGGUUGGAAAGUUUUUUAGGUGUAGGAUGAGCUCGCGGCCUAUCAGCUUGUUGGUGGGGUAAUGGCCUACCAAGGCGGCGACGGGUAGCCGGCCUGAGGGGGUGGACGGCGACCUUGGGACUGAGGGACGGCCCAGACUCCUACGGUCGGCAGCAGUGCGGACUCUUGCACAAUGGGCGCCAGCCUGAUGCAGCGGCGCCGCGUGGGGUAUGACGGCCUUCGGGUUGUAAACUCCUUUCGCUAGGGACGAAGCUUUUUGUGACGGUACCUAGAUAGAAAGCCCCGGCUAACUACGUG
Molecule: ribosomal RNA, 465 nt
Filed under: uncultured bacterium
Lineage: Bacteria
Description: partial 16S ribosomal RNA
Rfam family: Bacterial small subunit ribosomal RNA
Source: RNAcentral